Molecule: ribosomal RNA, 254 nt
Filed under: uncultured bacterium
Lineage: Bacteria
Description: partial 16S ribosomal RNA
Rfam family: Bacterial small subunit ribosomal RNA
Source: RNAcentral
UACGUAGGGUGCAAGCGUUGUCCGGAAUUAUUGGGCGUAAAGAGCUCGUAGGCGGCCUGUUGCGUCCGCUGUGAAAUCCCAGGGCUCAACCCUGGGCGUGCAGUGGAUACGGGCAGGCUAGAGUUCGGUAGGGGAGUCUGGAAUUCCUGGUGUAGCGGUGAAAUGCGCAGAUAUCAGGAGGAACACCGGUGGCGAAGGCGGGACUCUGGGCCGAUACUGACGCUGGAGGAGCGAAAGCGUGGGGAGCGAACAGG